This 1457-nucleotide ribosomal RNA is filed under the name Salmonella enterica. RNAcentral's name for it is "partial 23S ribosomal RNA". It matches the Rfam family "Bacterial large subunit ribosomal RNA", at positions 1 to 1303 of the family's 2925-position model. Lineage: Bacteria; Pseudomonadati; Pseudomonadota; Gammaproteobacteria; Enterobacterales; Enterobacteriaceae. The record is from RNAcentral.
GGGUUGUGAGGUUAAGCGACCAAGCGUACACGGUGGAUGCCCUGGCAGUCAGAGGCGAUGAAGGACGUGCUAAUCUGCGAAAAGCGCCGGUAAGGUGAUAUGAACCGUUAUAACCGGCGAUGUCCGAAUGGGGAAACCCAGUGUGAUUCGUCACACUAUCAUUAACUGAAUCCAUAGGUUAAUGAGGCGAACCGGGGGAACUGAAACAUCUAAGUACCCCGAGGAAAAGAAAUCAACCGAGAUUCCCCCAGUAGCGGCGAGCGAACGGGGAGGAGCCCAGAGCCUGAAUCAGCAUGUGUGUUAGUGGAAGCGUCUGGAAAGGCGCGCGAUACAGGGUGACAGCCCCGUACACAAAAGCGCACGUGCUGUGAGCUCGAUGAGUAGGGCGGGACACGUGGUAUCCUGUCUGAAUAUGGGGGGACCAUCCUCCAAGGCUAAAUACUCCUGACUGACCGAUAGUGAACCAGUACCGUGAGGGAAAGGCGAAAAGAACCCCGGCGAGGGGAGUGAAACAGAACCUGAAACCGUGUACGUACAAGCAGUGGGAGCCCCACCACUAAGCCAGUGGUGAACUCCACAUACGCAUCCUUUGCUGAGGAUGCGGUUAACGGAGCGAAAGCGACGUUCAACCGCAAAAGAAGCAGAGGGGGCUUAGUGGUGGGGUGACUGCGUACCUUUUGUAUAAUGGGUCAGCGACUUAUAUUCUGUAGCAAGGUUAACCGCAUAGGGGAGCCGGAGGGAAACCGAGUCUUAACCGGGCGUUAAGUUGCAGGGUAUAGACCCGAAACCCGGUGAUCUAGCCAUGGGCAGGUUGAAGGUUGGGUAACACUAACUGGAGGACCGAACCGACUAAUGUUGAAAAAUUAGCGGAUGACCUGUGGCUGGGGGUGAAAGGCCAAUCAAACCGGGAGAUAGCUGGUUCUCCCCGAAAGCUAUUUAGGUAGCGCCUCGUGAAUUCAUCUCCGGGGGUAGAGCACUGUUUCGGCCAGGGGGCCAUCCCGGCUUACCAAUCCGAUGCAAACUGCGAAUACCGGAGAAUGUUAUCACGGGAGACACACGGCGGGUGCUAACGUCCGUCGUGAAGAGGGAAACAACCCAGACCGCCAGCUAAGGUCCCAAAGUCAUGGUUAAGUGGGAAACGAUGUGGGAAGGCCCAGACAGCCAGGAUGUUGGCUUAGAAGCAGCCAUCAUUUAAAGAAAGCGUAAUAGCUCACUGGUCGAGUCGGCCUGCGCGGAAGAUGUAACGGGGCUAAACCAUGCACCGAAGCUGCGGCAGCGAACGUAUCACCCAAGACAACUUUACACAGUUGACGCCUGACGGAGCGAAGCGACGUCAAAGCGUUUUACAACGUCGAGUUGGCUUAGGGAUACGUUCGUUGGGUAGGGGAGCGUUCUGUAAGCCGUUGAAGGUGUGUCGUGAGGCAUGCUGGAGGUAUCAGAAGUGCGAAUGCUGACAU